This 253-nucleotide ribosomal RNA is filed under the name uncultured bacterium. RNAcentral's name for it is "partial 16S ribosomal RNA". It matches the Rfam family "Bacterial small subunit ribosomal RNA", at positions 524 to 776 of the family's 1533-position model. The record is from RNAcentral.
UACGGAGGGUGCAAGCGUUAUCCGGAUUUAUUGGGUUUAAAGGGUCCGUAGGCGGACCGUUAAGUCAGUGGUGAAAGCCCACAGCUCAACUGUGGAAUUGCCAUUGAUACUGGCGGUCUUGAGUACAUGUGAAGUUGGCGGAAUGUGUGGUGUAGCGGUGAAAUGCUUAGAUAUCACACAGAACACCGAUUGCGAAGGCAGCUGGCUAACAUGUAACUGACGCUGAGGGACGAAAGUGUGGGGAUCAAACAGG